Molecule: ribosomal RNA, 406 nt
Filed under: uncultured bacterium
Lineage: Bacteria
Description: partial 16S ribosomal RNA
Rfam family: Bacterial small subunit ribosomal RNA
Source: RNAcentral
AUUGAACGCUGGCGGCAGGCCUAACACAUGCAAGUCGAACGAGUGGCGGACGGGUGAGUAAUGUCUGGGAAACUGCCCGAUGGAGGGGGAUAACUACUGGAAACGGUAGCUAAUACCGCAUACCAUCGGAUGUGCCCAGAUGGGAUUAGCUAGUAGGUGGGGUAACGGCGCACCUAGGCGACGAUCCCUAGCUGGGCUGAGAGGAUGACCAGCUCAACUGUAACUGAGAGACGGUCCAGAGUCCUACGGGAGGAAGCAGUGGGGAAGUUGGCACAAUGGGCGCAAGCCUGAUGCAGCCAUGCCGCGUGUCUGAAGAAGGCCUUCGGGUUGUAAAGUACUUUCAGCGAGGAGGCGUUACUCGCAGAAGAAGCACCGGCUAACUCCGUGCCAGCCGCCGCGGUAAUAC